This 859-nucleotide long non-coding RNA is filed under the name Mytilus galloprovincialis (Mediterranean mussel). Lineage: Eukaryota; Metazoa; Mollusca; Bivalvia; Mytilida; Mytilidae. The record is from RNAcentral.
CUUACCUAUGGUCUAAAUUUUGACUUUAAAAUAAAUUGUAAUUAUAUUCUUUAAUCAAUUCAAUGCAGUUGUCAAUAAUAAUAAGCUCCACAAGCAAUGUUUAACAAAGCACAAUUUACUGGAAAUAAGUCCUACCUGGCCAUUUAACAGUACUUAUACAUUGGAUAUAAUUUAUAACCGUGUAUUCGCGGAAAAAACAAACCUGUGUGCAAAUGCAUAAUAUCUAUUUUUAAACAAGGUAAUGAGGUCAUAACCUUUUUUUAGAAUUUUGAUGAAAAUAGCAAUCCUUCACCUGUGUUUGAUUUCAGACUUUUACAAUACAGAAAUGAUACCCGAUUAAUGAAAGUGAUAAAAAGUAAUAAACAAACAAAAAUAUUUCCAUGACAACAGACAACAUGUCAAAAAUAUUGGAUAGCAAAGUCAGAAUUAAUGAGAUGUACAUGCAUUACAGUGGGCAGCAACCAGACACUGCCUGAUCUAAAAAGAGUUUAUGGUCUUUAAAUGAUAAUGAUCCCAUGAGAAAUCAAUCUGGCUAGAACAUGUCGACAAAUUACUUGUGUACUCUUUCUUAGAAAACUAUAAAGGCAAAAAAAUUCAGCUGCAAUUGUUGGGUUUUAUCAAAGAAUGAAUUUCAAUGGUAUUUAUAGACACUUAGUACAUCUCAAUAUUCUAACAUUUGUUAUCAAGGCAAAUCAUUCAAAAUUUACACAUUCAACAAUUACACAAAAAUACUAAAGAAAAUAAAAUUGAACUGCAUUCAAAAAGGCAGCUUACUUAGAAAUACACAAUAUAGAUUUGGUCCUGCGAGUACAAAAAUAUUCAUAUAUCUAAAAAAAUUCUUGAACUUUAAAAAGCAUUU